AUACGGAGGGUGCAAGCGUUGUUCGGAAUUACUGGGCGUAAAGCGCGCGUAGGCGGUCUGUUAUGUCAGAUGUGAAAGUCCUCGGCUCAACCGGGGAAGUGCAUUUGAAACUGGCAGACUUGAGUACUGGAGGGGGUGGUGGAAUUCCCGGUGUAGAGGUGAAAUUCGUAGAUAUCGGGAGGAAUACCGGUGGCGAAGGCGACCACCUGGCCAGAUACUGACGCUGAGGUGCGAAAGCGUGGGGAGCAAACAGGAUUAGAAACCCGUGUAGUCC
This 274-nucleotide ribosomal RNA is filed under the name uncultured bacterium. RNAcentral describes it as "partial 16S ribosomal RNA". It matches the Rfam family "Bacterial small subunit ribosomal RNA", at positions 523 to 796 of the family's 1533-position model. The record is from RNAcentral.